Molecule: ribosomal RNA, 468 nt
Filed under: uncultured bacterium
Lineage: Bacteria
Description: partial 16S ribosomal RNA
Rfam family: Bacterial small subunit ribosomal RNA
Source: RNAcentral
GACGAACGCUGGCGGCGUGCUUAACACAUGCAAGUCGAACGGAAAGGCCCUGCUUUUGUGGGGUGCUCUAGUGGCGAACGGGUGAUUAACACUUGAGUAACCUGCCCUUGACUUUGGGAUAACUUCAGCAAACUUGGGCUAAUACCGCAUAGGAGUUCCUGCUGUAUGGUGGGGGUUGGAAAGUUUCGGCGGUUGGGGAUGGACUCGCGGCUUAUCGCCUUGUUGGUGGGGUACUGGCUUCCCAUAGCUUUGACAGGUAGCCGGGCUGAGAGGGUGACGAACAACGUUGGGGAGGGAAUGAGGACCAGGCUCCUAAGGGAGGCAGCAGUGGGGAAGAUUACACAAUGGGCGAGGGCCUGAUGGAGCAACGCCACGUGCGGGAUGAGAACCUUCGGGUUGUAGACCGCUUUCGCCUGUGACGAGGCGUGAGUGACGGUAAUGGGUAAAGAAGCACCGGCUAGCUACGUG